Molecule: RNA transcript, 7747 nt
Organism: Aedes albopictus (Asian tiger mosquito)
Lineage: Eukaryota; Metazoa; Arthropoda; Insecta; Diptera; Culicidae
Exons: 2
Source: RefSeq, a predicted model, not a curated record
UGUUAAAAACUGCAAAUCUUCUAACACUGCCGGUGGUGGUGUGAAUUCCGGACGCUCCCCAGUGGCUAUCAUCGACACAGCUACAAUAGAUGAGCAGCAUAGCGAGCAGAAACAAAACUGUAGUCACCGAACGAGGUCGAACUCACAGCCGUGUCAUUGUUCGCCGUAUGAUUGUGUUCAGCACCCAUCAUCCACCGUAUAGUGCAAUAAGUGCCUUUUUCGAUUCAAUAGAGUCCAUCUCUAGAUCCAGCCAUUCGGAAUCGCUAGAAAAUCCGUUGGCGCCGCUGAACAGCUUGAGGCUACUGGCGAAGCCGGACCUGAAUCGGCACAAAGUUAUGAACUUUCCUUAGAAGUUUGUACACAUGCUUUGAUCCGUAAGUUUGAUCAAUUUGAUCUAAUUGAAUUAUUUAGAACCUAACGAAUGAAUUGAAAACCUAAAAUUAAAAUCCUAAUCUAUCCUUAAAUUGUAUAUACAUGCCUUACUUCUAAAUUAAAAACUGAAUUCCAUGCCUUUGUUAGGAUAAAUUUCGUUCACCCGAAACACUUGUUGCGAGUCGUGGUUUCUACGAUAAGGCAUAAAAUACUGAAUGUAAGUUCGACAAUUUAGGUUUAUAAUUCUAACAACUCAAAUAAUGAAAUAUUUAAUAAAUUACAGCUUUAAGCUGCCAUUGUUCUGGACUGCUAACGGAAGUGUUUGAAUUGCCCCGAAACCCACCGAUCCGCAACAAAACUUAAAGAUUCAUUGAGUGAAUCUGUAGCUGCGCAGUAAGCGGCCAAGUAAGCAGUUAGAAGUGCUGCGAAGUAAGCAGCAGGAUGAAUUCCGUUCGCACUUGCGAAAACUGCCGCACCAGUGGCACGGUGGAACAGAUGGUCGGCUGCGACAUGUGCGACAUGUGGCUCCACCUGAAAUGUGCUGGUGUUACGACCGACAACGCAGAUCCCGACAAAAGCUGGCGCUGCGAACGAUGCCUACAUGAUGAGGCAACGGAACGGACCAGCCAUCGUAGCCGGAAGACCGGUAGGACGACAAGCAGCACCUCGGCCCAGCGGACAGAGUUGGCCCUACAGCUACUUGAGGAGGAAAAGGCGCUGAUCAAGAGGAAUCGUGAUCGAGAGGACGAGUUCCUCAAGAAGGAAGCGGAAAUGCAAAGGAAGAGAGCGGAGGAAGAUGCCAAGCUGCUGAAGCAGAAACAUGACCUGUUGAAGUCAUUGGAGGACGGGAAUGGUAGCAUCAGAAGCGGAAUCAGUAGCAACGCGAGUCGAAGAAGGGUACAGGAAUGGCUCGGCGCUAAUAGUGGCGGUUUGGUGCCGGUAACUGACCAGCCACAGAUGUCUGGACCUACCGCCCAACUAUCCGCUACUCCAUCGGAGAUAUCAGCACUUCCCAUUAAGCCACCACGGAGGUCCGGUGCCGACGUCCUUCUCAGCCAAGAUGCAGAGGGGAGUACCAUCGCUCCCAAAUCAACGUCAACACCACAAAAAACCUUAAGUACACCAUUAAUUCUCUCUAACACACCAGUCCCUCCAAUGGUUGUGCCCUCUCAAGUGGCCACCAGUGCUUCAAAUGCAAAGUGGGGUGGGUACUACCCGGGGAUCAAUGUCUUUUCAUCGUCCGCCCUGCCGACGAUCCCUGAACAACAACCGAGCGUGACAAAUAUCGCUACAACAAAUGCACCUCUCGGGAGUUACGCUGCUUCACAAGCGAUUCCCCCUUUGGUUGGGAGCCCCGCUAAUCAGUAUCCCCCCAUAUAUCCUACUAGUUCAAAAUUUCCAAUUGCUUCUGGGUAUGAAAGUAUGUCAACCGGACAGACAGUAUCAGUCAAUGCUUCCAGUUCACCGUUUGUGUCAGUGCCAGCUAAAUCGUUCGGGUUUACGCCAAGUGUAGUGACAACGAGUUCCUGGUUGAAGUCGGGUGUGUCUUGCCCAGGUCAGUUGAACGAACCUCAGCCUAUUCGAGUAGCACCAGCGUGUACAGCAGGGGUGGGCGUACAAACACAGAUUGGCCAACGAAUGGAUGGCAGAUCAAGUCCAGUGGUUACAGCAGCAAACGUGAGUAAUUCGGAUGUACAUCAGACCAGCAGAUCACGGUACCUUGCGCCAUCCGGCGUGCAUCAGCUGAAUGAGCCGUUUCAACCUGUGUCAUCCGGUGUGCAGCAGCCAAAUGUGUCAUUUCUUCCCGCGCCAUCCGGUGCUCAGCAGUUCAACGUGUCUUUUCAAUCAGCGCCAACCGGCGUACAAAUGGCGGCGCGACAAGUGAUGCCGCGCGAAUUACCGACGUUCUCUGGCGACCCACAAGACUGGCCGUUGUUCUCUAGUUCAUUUUACACCUCAACAGCGGCUUGUGGAUACACGGAUGUGGAGAAUCUGGCUAGAUUACAACGUUGCUUGAAGGGACAUGCGCUUGAUUCGGUGAAGAGCCGUCUCUUGUUACCACAGUCAGUGCCACACGUGAUGGAGACACUACGGAUGCUGUAUGGACGACCGGAGAUCUUAAUCCACUCCCUGCUGCAAAAAUUGCGAAGUGUACCGUCACCAAAAGCUGAGAACUUGCAGUCAAUCAUCACCUACGGGAUGGCCGUACGUAAUCUGGUCGACCAUAUGCAUGUUGCAGAUCUAGUGGAGCACUUGCGCAACCCAAUGCUGGUGCACGAGCUAGUCGAGAGGCUGCCACCACAAAUGCGAAUGCAAUGGUCUUGGUACAAACGCUCAAUUCCGGACGUCAACCUGGCGACGUUCGGUGAUUUCAUGUCGGAGUUGGUGAAGACAGCGACUGAUGUUACGAUUCCCAGAGAUACUUUAAUGCAGCAGGGCAGGUCUGUCAAUACGGGACGAGAGAAGCAAAAUCUAUACGUCCACACGAAGGCUGAUAGUGGUGAAACAACAGCAAAGACGAAGAACAAGACGAAGUCUGCAAAGGAACCAGAUUCCUCAAAGAGAUCGUGCGCUUACUGUUCAGACGACGGUCAUGAAGUAGCACGAUGUCCUCAGUUCAAGGCGUUAGAUCUGGAUGGGAGAUGGAAGGCGAUACGAUCGAAGGGGCUUUGCAGAACCUGCUUGAUUCCGCACCUCAAGUGGCCGUGCCGUUCGAGCAAGGAGUGUGGCGUAGAUGGUUGCCGUUUUCGUCACAAUGCAUUGCUACAUUCACGGUCAGCGACAGAGUCAGCCGCUGCUCAUCCGAGGCCCAGUGAAAACGUCGCGCGACAGAAUCAUCAUUCUGCGACGAAAAUUUCACUAUUUCGCUAUCUACCAGUAACGUUAGAAGCGAAUGGAAGGAAGGUAGAAACUUUCGCGUUUCUGGACGAUGGAAGUGAGUCCACAUUGAUGGAGGCCGGACUCGCUGAGGAGCUGGGCAUCGUCGGGCCCGAAGAAUCUCUUUGGCUUGCCUGGACCGGAAACAUAUCUCGGGAAGAGAAGGGUUCACAACGGAUCUCAGUGGCAAUCUCGGGAGCUGGACUUAAGAGUCAAUUCCAGCUGAACAACGUACGUACGGUCCAGAAGUUGAAACUACAAGGUCAAUCGUUCCAGUACACCGAGCUUCAAAUGAUCUAUCCACAUCUCAGAGGACUACCGCUACAUAGUUACUCAGAGGCAGUACCGAGAAUUAUUAUCGGUAUCGAACACGCACAGAUGCUUACUACCCUAAAAGUGCGAGAAGGCAGAGCCAACGAACCCGUUGCGGCGAAGACGAGGCUUGGCUGGUGCGUGUACGGUAAACAAGUCGACGGUAGCGAUGCUGUAACGCGGCUGCAUGUGCAUUCAGAGGAACACGGGAACCGUGAGUUGCAUGAGCUGAUGAGGCAGUACUUCAGCAUCGAGGAGGCAGCGGUAGCUACUCCGUUGGAGUCGGAAGAGGACAGACGGGCCCGAAAAAUUCUGGAGAGAACAACAAGAAGGACUAACGGUUGCUUCGAAACUGGGCUUCUAUGGAAGUAUGACCGACCGUCGUUUCCAAACAGCUAUCCACUUGCAGUGCGUAGAAUGCAGUCAUUGGAGAAGCGGCUGGCCAAAGAAACUGGUCUCAAAGAACGAGUGAAUGAUCAGAUAGCAGAGUACGUGUCAAAGGGAUACGCCCACCGAAUAACACAAGAGGAAGUUGAGACAACAAAUCCAGAUCGUGUGUGGUACCUACCGCUGGGCAUCGUGAGGAACCCGAAGAAGCCGGAGAAAAUCCGUCUGAUUUGGGAUGCGGCAGCUCGGGUAAAUGGCGUUUCGUUCAACGACAUGCUCAUCAAAGGGCCAGACAUGCUGACGUCACUGUUCACAGUUCUACUACGGUUCCGUCAGCGAUCAGUUGCCGUAUGUGGAGACAUACGGGAAAUGUUCCACCAAGUUAGGAUCAUCCCUCAAGACAAGCAGUCGCAGCGGUUCCUCUAUCGAGAUCAUCCAGAUCAGCACCCUCAGGUCUUCGUUAUGGACGUGGCAACGUUCGGUGCGACGUGCUCGCCGUGCUCCGCACAGUUCGUUAAAAACACCAACGCCCAGGACUUCGCAGCGCAAUUUCCGAGAGCUGCAGAGGCGAUUGUCAAUGCCCAUUAUGUCGAUGACUACCUUGACAGUGUAGAUACGAUCGACGAAGCGGUUGAAUUGGUGAAGGAUGUAAAGUUUGUUCACGCUCAAGGUGGAUUCGACAUCCGGAACUUCUCAUCCAACUCGGCUGAAGUGAUACAACGUCUGGGCGAAACCGAGAACGUGAAGGACAAAUCAAUGGUUCUGGAUAAAUUUUCGGACACGGAGCGUGUUUUGGGGAUGGUAUGGAGACCAGCGGUCGACCUAUUCACCUUCGAUACCACUCUGAAAGAUGAUCUUACGAAGCUACUGGUAGAAGGAAACACGCCCACGAAACGGCAGGUGUUGAGGCUCGUUAUGUCGCUGUUUGACCCUUACGGGUUUAUCGCCCACUUUAUCAUUCACGGCAAGAUCCUCAUGCAGCACAUCUGGAGAUCUGGCACAGACUGGGAUGAAAAGAUUGUGGAUGAACUACACGAUUUGUGGAACGACUGGACACGUCUUCUGAAGGAAUUGGGCGAAGUGGAGGUUCCCCGCUGUUUCUUCGGUGCGACAAAUAGUAAGCUGCACAGCGGGAUACAACUUCACGUGUUCGUCGAUGCGAGCGAACUAGCGUAUGCUUGUGUUGCAUAUUUGCGUAUCGUCCACGAUACGGAAGUGCGAUGCGUGUUAGUAGCAGCGAAGACAAAGGUGGCGCCGCUUAAACCGCUCUCCAUCCCUCGCUUAGAGUUGCAAGCCGGUCUAAUAGGUAGCCGGUUGCUGAACAACAUCUGUACUGCCUUGGAUCUGCCCAUAGAAAAGCGGUACAUUUGGACAGAUUCCAGAACAUCUCUCUCGUGGGUUUGCUCGGAUAGCAGGCGCUAUCAUCCAUACGUAGGUUUUCGUGUCGGCGAGAUUCUGAAUUCCUCUACUGUCGAUGAGUGGCACUACGUUCCGUCGAAACAGAACGUGGCUGACGACGCCACAAAGUGGGGAGUUGGACCUAGCUUCAGUGCGAGUAGUCGCUGGUACACGGGUCCGGAUUAUCUCUUCUUGCCGGAAAACGAAUGGCCAGAGCAGCCAGCGAAACAAUGGAAAACUGACGAGGAGCUACGUACCAGAUUUCAACAUCAUCGAGAAAUGCCACAACCUUUGAUUAACGUGAGUAGAUUCUCGAAUUGGAACCGCCUGUUACGCACGACGGCGUAUUUGCUACGCGCAGUGAAGUUGUUCCGAACGCGAGGCAAAUCGGGACCGCUGACCAGCGAGGAGUUGUUGCAGGCUGAAAAUUUGCUGUGGCGACAGGUGCAGUAUGAAGCUUUCCCGGACGAGUACUGUGUGCUGGAGUUCAACAAGGCGAAUCCAGAGAAGAAGCAGAAACGAAUCGAGAAGAGCAGUUCAUUGUACGAACAGUCGCCGUUUAUGGAUGACGUGGGCGUGAUAAGGAUGAAUAGCAGGAUUGGUGCUGCUCCUACCGUACCCUUUGGAGUAAAGUAUCCAAUUAUCUUGCCGAGGGAUCACACUCUAACAGCCCUUCUUGUCGAGAGUUACCACAGACGGUUUAAACAUCAGAACGGUGAAACGGUGUUCAACGAAAUACGUCAGCAGUUUCGAAUACCGAAGCUGCGCCCUCUGAUACAACGUGUCGCCCGGAACUGCCAGAGCUGCAGGCUUCGGAAGGCAACUCCGCGACCACCAAUAAUGGCACCACUUCCGAAGGUUCGGUUGACACCCCACAUCCGGGCGUUCAGCCACACCGGCGUCGACUACUUCGGCCCAAUCCUGGUAAAGCAAGGCCGUAGUUUAGUGAAACGCUGGGUAGCACUAUUCACGUGUCUUACUAUACGUGCGGUGCACCUGGAGAUAGUGCACAGCCUUUCGACACAAUCCUGUGUGAUGGCAAUCCGCCGAUUCGUUGCGCGCAGAGGAUCCCCGUCAGACCUUUACUCGGAUAACGGGACCUGUUUUCGUGGAGCUAGCAACCUGUUGACGGAGCAGAUGGAAGCCAUCCAUGAACACUGCGCUGUGACGUUUACCAAUGCCAGAACGAGCUGGCACUUCAAUCCCCCAUCUGCACCUCACAUGGGGGGCUGUUGGGAACGGAUGGUGCGUUCUGUGAAGGCAGCUAUGGGAGCCAUUUCAGAACAUAAUCGCCACCCAAGCGACGAGGUUCUGGAGACUGUAGUCUUGGAAGCCGAAGCGAUCGUGAACACACGACCGUUGACCUACGUACCACUCGAUGAUGAAGACCAGGAUGCAUUAACGCCGAACCACUUUCUGCUGUACGGCUCAAGUGGCGUGGUGCAACCACGAACUUCACUGGUGGCUGACGGCAGCACGCUACGGGACAGCUGGAAGCUCGCCCAGUAUUUAUCCGAUUUGUUUUGGGAACGCUGGGUACGUGAGUAUCUGCCGACGUUGGCAAGACGGACUAAAUGGUUUGAACCAGUGAAACCUUUGCAGCCUGGCGAUUUGGUAAUUGUUAUCGACGAGCAUAAACGUAAUGGAUGGAUACGAGGACGAGUCGUCGAGGUCGUACGAGGAAAGGAUGGUCAAGUCAGAAGUGCAGUCGUAAGAACCGUAGAAGGGAUGAUGAAACGACCAGUAUUGAAGCUGGCUUUGCUGGAUGUACGCGGUAAGCAGCCACAAGGUCCCCCGGAACCACACGGGAGGGGGGAUGUUAAAAACUGCAAAUCUUCUAACACUGCCGGUGGUGGUGUGAAUUCCGGACGCUCCCCAGUGGCUAUCAUCGACACAGCUACAAUAGAUGAGCAGCAUAGCGAGCAGAAACAAAACUGUAGUCACCGAACGAGGUCGAACUCACAGCCGUGUCAUUGUUCGCCGUAUGAUUGUGUUCAGCACCCAUCAUCCACCGUAUAGUGCAAUAAGUGCCUUUUUCGAUUCAAUAGAGUCCAUCUCUAGAUCCAGCCAUUCGGAAUCGCUAGAAAAUCCGUUGGCGCCGCUGAACAGCUUGAGGCUACUGGCGAAGCCGGACCUGAAUCGGCACAAAGUUAUGAACUUUCCUUAGAAGUUUGUACACAUGCUUUGAUCCGAUAAAUUUCGUUCACCCGAAACACUUGUUGCGAGUCGUGGUUUCUACGAUAAGGCAUAAAAUACUGAAUGUAAGUUCGACAAUUUAGGUUUAUAAUUCUAACAACUCAAAUAAUGAAAUAUUUAAUAAAUUACAGCUUUAAGCUGCCAUUGUUCUGGACUGCUAACGGAAGUGUUUGAAUUGCCCCGAAACCCACCGAUCCGCAACAGG